This 160-nucleotide ribosomal RNA is filed under the name Ascomycota sp. RNAcentral's name for it is "partial large subunit ribosomal RNA". It matches the Rfam family "Eukaryotic large subunit ribosomal RNA", at positions 99 to 261 of the family's 3401-position model. The record is from RNAcentral. Lineage: Eukaryota; Fungi; Ascomycota.
CGGCAUCAGCUCAGAUUUGAAAUCCGGCUUCGGCCCGAGUUGUAAUCUGCAGAGGCACAUUCGGCGGUGGCGCCGGUCCAAGUCUUCUGGAACGGAGCGUCGCAGAGGGUGAGAAUCCCGUACGCGGCCGGCAGCCUACGCCAUGUGAAUGUCCUUCGAC